Molecule: ribosomal RNA, 459 nt
Filed under: uncultured bacterium
Lineage: Bacteria
Description: partial 16S ribosomal RNA
Rfam family: Bacterial small subunit ribosomal RNA
Source: RNAcentral
CCUAGGGGUGGCAGCAGUGAGGAAUAUUGGUCAAUGGACGAGAGUCUGAACCAGCCAAGUAGCGUGAAGGAUGACUGCCCUAUGGGUUGUAAACUUCUUUUAUAUGGGAAUAAAAUGUUCCACGUGUGGGAUUUUGUAUGUACCAUAUGAAAAAGCAUCGGCUAACUCCGUGCCAGCAGCCGCGGUAAUACGGAGGAUGCGAGCGUUAUCCGGAUUUAUUGGGUUUAAAGGGUGCGCAGGCGGAGGUGCAAGUCAGCGGUCAAAUUGCGGGGCUCAACCCCGUACUGCCGUUGAAACUGCAGCCCUUGAGUGCGCGAGAAGUAGGCGGAAUGCGUGGUGUAGCGGUGAAAUGCAUAGAUAUCACGAAGAACUCCGAUUGCGAAGGCAGUUCACUGGACUGCAACUGACACUGAGGCUCGAAAGUGUGGGUAUCAAACAGGAUUAGAUACCCGAGUAGUC